AACGAACGCUGGCGGCAUGCCUAAUACAUGCAAGUCGAACGAUCACUUCGGUGGUAGUGGCGCACGGGUGCGUAACGCGUGGGAAUCUGCCCUUGGGUUCGGAAUAACGUCGGGAAACUGACGCUAAUACCGGAUGAUGACGUAAGUCCAAAGAUUUAUCGCCCAGGGAUGAGCCCGCGUAGGAUUAGCUAGUUGGUGGGGUAAAGGCCUACCAAGGCGACGAACCUUAGCUGGUCGGAGAGGAUGAUCAGCCACACUGGGACUGAGACACGGCCCAGACUCCUACGGGAGGCAGCAGUAGGGAAUAUUGGACAAUGGGGGCAACCCUGAUCCAGCAAUGCCGCGUGAGUGAUGAAGGCCUUAGGGUUGUAAAGCUCUUUUACCCGGGAUGAUAAUGACAGUACCGGGAGAAUAAGCCCCGGCUAACUCCGUGCCAGCCGCCGCCGUAA
This 449-nucleotide ribosomal RNA is filed under the name uncultured bacterium. RNAcentral's name for it is "partial 16S ribosomal RNA". It matches the Rfam family "Bacterial small subunit ribosomal RNA", at positions 29 to 523 of the family's 1533-position model. The record is from RNAcentral.